GGUUUACAAAAUGCAAAAUCUUAUAUAAGCCAAUGGACUCCUUGAUUUCCUACCUCAGUGUACACUCAACUGUUUGUCACAUCAGUUUGUGUAUGUGCAAAUGUCAAUCUUUUGCUUUAAUUGCUACUGUAAAUAACUGCUUUGAAAGAUUACUUUCUAUUUUAUAAACCUAGUUGUCUCCAGAGUUUAAAUACGAUCUUUAAGGCACUUGGUUUAAAUUUCUGUCUACAUAUAAAGUUUAGCAUUAAGGGUUUAUUUUAAUGAUAUUCUGAUUAUUGGCCAAGUGUAAUGUUUUGUAAAAUAUAGCAUUACUUUUAAUAGCCAGCAUGUAAUACAAGUAACUACACUACCUCAUACCUAUAUCAUUUUCAAGUUGUAAUCCAGAGGGGCAGAUAGAUAAAAAAAAUUUUUAUCUUUGUCUUUUGGCCAUAAAGUGGGGAAGUUUUUAUAUAUUGCAUAGCAUUACGCAUUUAUGCCUAUUUUAACAUUAACUUCUAAAGAAGUUUUUUCUAAGAAAAUUUGUUUUAAGUUCAUUUUUUUUUUGAGGCUGCCGAAGACAAAUGACAGGAUUAUGUGUAUACAGUGUAUAUCUUUUCCUUCAUGCAGAAUUUUGGCAAAGUGUUUUUCAGUUUGUAUAUUGCAUAUUUACAUGAUCAUUGUUCCUUAUUUUAUGAGUUAGCCUUCUCACUGCUUGAUGAUUUUUCAAAAGCUGUUAGGUCUAACUUGAUAAAAUAACCAUACCUUAAAGUUUUUUUCAUUAUUUGAAUCCUGCAGCUAUAGCAAAUAAUCUGUCGUUAAAUUGUUAUAUUCAAGACAAAUAUGGAUAUAAAUCUAAGUUCUCCAUCUGUACAUUUUAUAACAUAAUUUACUAUAGCUUAAUGCUUAACUAAUUUAAAAUAAGGAAUCAGAUAUAUUUGGUGCAGUAGACGAUACAGGUUGCAUGUGGACACUCAGCCACAUUAACAACUUGGAAAAAAAAAUUAAAAAAUGGCAAUGUUAUAAUGAAUUCUCAGGUGAACUUUUUUCAGUUAUGGAACAUCUAUUUUGAAUUUGUAAAUAUUUUAACUGUUUUAUUAAGGCAUGUAAUAAACUAUUCUUUGAAACUUGUUGGGCAGAAUGAAAUUUUAAAGCCGUAAUGGCAAAGAUGGCAUACUGAUUGUAAAAUAAACAGAAAUAAUAACGGCUAUUGAUUUUUUUUUGUAUCUUUCAUAAUAUAAUUUUCUAACAAUGCAAUGAAACCACUAAGUUAAUAUAUCCAUAUCUGUUAAGAUCAUGUUUCAUUAAAAGUGAACUUCCGUAGUAUUUAAUUUACAUUUUCUUCCUAAUGUGCUUAUCCAAAUGUAGCAAAGCUAGAAACGUUAGAUGUUGGUAAUAAAAUGACAGUUCAAUAAAAUUCUCUGAAAUUGCU
RNAcentral lists this long non-coding RNA (1408 nucleotides) under Phocoena sinus (vaquita). Its description in RNAcentral is "lncRNA (ENSPSNG00000016226.1)". The record is from RNAcentral. Lineage: Eukaryota; Metazoa; Chordata; Mammalia; Artiodactyla; Phocoenidae.